UAGGGAAUCUUCCGCAAUGGACGAAAGUCUGACGGAGCAACGCCGCGUGAGCGAAGAAGGUCUUCGGAUUGUAAAGCUCUGUUGUUAGGGAAGAACAAGUACCGUUCGAAUAGGGCGGUACCGUGACGGUACCUAACGAGAAAGCCACGGCUAACUACGUGCCAGCAGCCGCGGUAAUACGUAGGUGGCAAGCGUUGUCCGGAAUUAUUGGGCGUAAAGCGCGCGCAGGCGGUCCUUUAAGUCUGAUGUGAAAGCCCACGGCUCAACCGUGGAGGGUCAUUGGAAACUGGGGGACUUGAGUGCAGAAGAGGAGAGCGGAAUUCCACGUGUAGCGGUGAAAUGCGUAGAGAUGUGGAGGAACACCAGUGGCGAAGGCGGCUCUCUGGUCUGUAACUGACGCUGAGGCGCGAAAGCGUGGGGAGCAAACA
This 428-nucleotide ribosomal RNA is filed under the name uncultured bacterium. Its description in RNAcentral is "bacterial SSU rRNA". It matches the Rfam family "Bacterial small subunit ribosomal RNA", at positions 355 to 774 of the family's 1533-position model. The record is from RNAcentral. RNAcentral also lists the same sequence under 1 other name.